GUGAGAAGUUGUAAAGCCAACGCUUGAAUUCAGGUGUUCUGACUCUUCACCUAGUAGCUGCUUUAAGAUGAUCACAAUUGGGAAAGAAAUUCAGCUGGGAGAGCUAAAAAUAUAUCAUAAAUACACAUGAUGUCAUGAUACAUCAAAGUUCAGAUCUGAAAAUGUUUCUUAGUCUGCAGAUUAAAAAAUGUUUUUGAUGAGUCAACAACAUUCAGUGCUGUGAACUGUUCUUACUCCCUCAAGCCAUAGGUACAGAGAUCAUCAUUCUGUAUUUAGUUUGGAAUGAUGCCCCAGAAUCAGAGUUCCUAAAUAGCACUAAUGAUUUCACAGAUUUCAGGAAGAAUAGGGGACAUUGACCAUGACACAUAACGAUACUCAUUAAGUUGCAGAAUAGAAUACUUGUAAUUACCAAUUAAAAAGUGGGGUGAACAAAAUCUAAAUCCAUGGACAUGUAGGGUUGGAGCAGAGUCUCCUCAGCCUUAAUGGUAGCUUUGCGUGAAUCAGAAAAUGUGCUUUUCUUCCAGGUGGACACAACCCUAACCCAGGGUACACAGGUUAGUGAGAAAAGCUCUGGCUGGAUUCAGCUUUGUUUAUUCAUCUCCUCACAUGGAUGUUCUUUGUGGCCAUCUAAGAUAGAACAACAGCCUUCAAAGUUGCCUAACUCACUUUCCCACAUUCAGGCUCCUCUACCCCAUGACUUCCACCUCUUCCCCGCUGCCCGCAAUCCACUGGCACUCUCCGUAGCAGGAAGGAGAAAUAAGUGGCUUGACAGCUUUGACGCUCUCAUGAGGCCAACACAGUACUUCAAAACCAAACACUUAGGAAUUUCUUCUCAACCAUCGUUGCUGCAGCCCCAGGGAAAAUCAAGACAGAUGUGAGUGGUCAUGGAAGCUCACAGAUCAUAAAUUUGUUUUAGCUCUCACAUGUAAAGAGCUUAGAAGCUGUCACUCUCAUCCUUACAACAACAACAAAAAAAACCCUGGACAAACUCAUCACGUUGCUUGGACUCAUUGGAGAACUGAGACUUUAGAUUUACCCUGAAUUCUCAAGAGGCAAGAAGAUACAGAACGAUGCAGUCACUGAGUUUGCUUACCUGGAGCGGAAGGCACUGGAGCUGUAAACUCACAGGAACACUUAGAUGAGAUUUUGACAAUUUGCUGUAGGAUGAGUGUGGACUUUCUUGAGAGUAGGACUUAGUCUGGUGUAUGUUUGUUGGGGUGGGGUUAGGCCAUACUUUUCUGGGUUUUUCUUUCUGGAACCCCACCAGGUUUACAUAGUAAAGUUCCAAGAAAGAUCCUCUGGUGACCCUGGCAGGGAGAGGGAAAAAGUAAUCAUUUUGAAAUAUGCCCUGAGACUUUAUGAUACAGGCACAUUCUGCAGAGGAAAGGACUUUGCCAGAGCACAAUUCUGAAAUCUUAUCCCAGCAGGAGGAAGGAAAAUUCUUCCUAUUCUCUUAAACUUCCUUCAUUUUCUUGUUUUAACUAAGUGAAGAACUAAAAAGAUAGUCAACAGGAGACAAGGUUUGGAGAAAAUAGAUUGGGAAGGGAGUAGGGAGCAGGGGAGAAAAGAUAAGCCACUGUAGGAGGGAAAGAAAAACUUGUGAAGGCCAGAGUCCUGAGAUACAAGCCUGCUUACAGAUAGAGAGAGAAUCUAAGCAUUACAGAAGCCCCUCGCCCGCAUACCCUAACACUGCACCAAAAGGUUUCAGUGAAAUAACAGUGAUAAUAGCUGAAAGCACAUAGAGAAGCCCCACAGCCAAGAGGGUAGAUAAAAAGAAGGAUACUUAAGGAAUUAGAAGCCUCUGGUGCUUAUAGUUAUAGCAAAUAUUAAACACACCCAAUUCCUGACCAGAUGAUAUAGUUUGGCUCUGUGUCCCCACCCAAAUCUCAUCUUGAAUUGUAAUCCCCAUAAUCCUACAUGUCGAGGGAGGGACCAGGUGGGAGGUGAUUGGAUCAUGGGGGCGCUUUCCCCCAUGCUAUUCUCAUGAUAAUGAGUGAAUUCUCAUGAGAUCUGAUGGUUUUAAAGUGUGGCACUUUCUUGAUCAUGCUCACGCUCUCUCUUGCCGCCUUGUGAAGAAGGUGCCUGCUUCCCCUCCUGCCAUGAUUGUAAGUUUCCUGAGGCCUCCCCAGCCUUAUGGAACUGUGAAUCUAUUAAACCUCCUUUGUUUAUAAAUUACCCAGUCUUGGGUAGCAUCUUUACAGCAGUGUGAGACUGAACUAAUACAGUAUUUUGGUUACUGCAGAGAGUGGGGUACUGCAAUAAAAAUACUUGAAAAUAUGGAAGUGACUUUGGAACUGGGUAAUGGUCGGAGGUUGCGGGCGUUCAGAAAAAAGACAGGAAGAUAUGGGGAAGUUUGGGGCUUCCUAGAUACUUGAAUGGUUUUGACCAAAAUGUUGAUAGUGAUGUGAACAAUGAUGUCCAGGCUGAGGUGGUCUCAGAUAGAGAUGUGGAACUUACUGGGAACUGGAGUAAAGGUCACUCAUGCUACGCUUUAGCAAAGAGACUGGUGACAUUUUCCCCCUGCCCUAGAGAUCUGUGGAACUUUGAACUUGAGAGAGAUGAUUUAAGGCAUCUGGCAGAAAAAAAAUUUUCUAAGCAGCACAGCAUUCAAUAUGUGAUUUGGAUUAUUCUGACAGCAUUCAAUUUUAUGUGUUCAUAAAGAGAUAGUUUGUAAUUGGAACUUAUGUUUAAAAGGGAAGCAGAGCAUAAAAGUAUGGAAAAUUUGCAGCCUGACCAUGUGGUAGAAAAGAAAAAUCCAUUUCCUGGGGAGAAGCUCAAGCCUGCUGCAGAAAUUUGCAUAAGUAAUGAAGAGCCAAAUGUUAACUGCCAACACAAUGGAGAAAAUGUUUCCAGGACAUGUCAGAGGGCUUCCUGGCAGCCCCUCCCAUCACAGAUCUGAAAGCCUAGAAGGAAAAAUGGUUUUGUGGGCUAGGCCCAGGGCCUCUGCUCUGCAUAGCCUCAGGACAUGGUGCCCUGCAUCCUAGCUGCUUCAGCUCCAGUCAUGGCUAAAAGGGGAUAAGGUACAGCUCAGGCUCUUGCUUCAGAGGGUGCAAGCCCCAAGCCUUGGUGGCUUCCAUGUGAUGUUGGUCAUGCAGGUGCACAGAAGUCAAGAAUUGAAGUUUGGGAACCUCCGCCUAGGUUUUAGAGGCUGUAUGGAAAUGCCUGGAUGUCCAGGAAGAAGUCUGCUGCAGGGGCAGAGCCCUUGUGGAGAACCUCUGCUAGGACAGUGAGGAUGGGAAAUGUGGGGUUGGAGACCUUACACAGAGUCCCCACUGGGGCACAGCCUAGUGGAGUUUUGAGAAGAAGGCCACUGUCUUCUAGACCCCAGAAUGGUAGGUCCAUCCACAGCUUGUACCAUGUACCUUGAAAAGCCACAGGCACUCAAUGCUAGACUGUGAAAGAGCUACCCAAAGGUGAGGGAAGCCCAUCCCUUGCAUCAAUAUGACCUGGAUGUGAGACAUGGAGUCAAAGGAGAUUAUUUUGUAGCUUUAAGAUUUAAUGACUACGCUGCUGGAUUUUGGACUUGCAAGAGGCCUGAAGCCCCUUUGUUUUGACCAAUUUCUCCCAUUGUGAAUGGGAGCAUUUAUCCAAUGCCUGUAUCCCCAUUGUAUCUUGGAAGUAACUAAUUCGCUUUUAUUUUACAGGCUCCUAGGCAGAAGGGACUUGCCUUGUCUGAGAUGAGACUUUGGACUUGGAUUUUUGGGUUAAUGCUGGAAUGAGUUAAGACUUUGGGGAACUGUUAGGAAGGCAUGAUUAGUUUUAAAAUGUGUAAAGACAUCAGAUUUGGGAGCAGAGGGGAGGUGGAAUGAUAUGCUUUGGCUCUGUGUUCCCACUCAAAUAUCACCGGAAUUGUAACCCCUAUAAUCCCCAUGUGUUGAGGCAGGGGCCAGGUGGGAGGUGAUUGGAUCAUGGGGUCAGUUUCUCCAAGCUGCUCUCAUGAUAGUGAGUGAGUUCUCAUGAGAGCUGAUGGUUUUAAAGUGUGGCACUUCCUCAAUCAUGCACAUACUCUCUCCUGCCACCUUGAGAAGAAAGUGCCUUCUUCCCCUUCUGCUAUGAUUACAAGUUUCCUGAGGUCUCCAAGCUAUGCAGAAAUGUGAGUCAACUGAACCUCUUUUCUUUAUAAAUUACCCAGUUUCGGGUAGUAUCUUUAUAGCGCUAUAAGAAUGAAAUAAUUCACCAGAUUAACAUAAAUUGUCACACUAAUGACCUAUCUGAAUCUUCAGUUUCUAUUACAUGAUAAUAUAUCUCCAGCCUUCAACAAAAACGUUUCUUGCCAAAAGGCAAGAAAAAGUCUAUAGAAAAAAUAAUCAUCUGAAACAAACUUAGAUAUGGCACAGAUACUGGAAUUAUCAGGCAGUGUAUUUAAAAUAACUAUGACUAACAUGUCAAGGGCUAUAAUGGAAAAGCUAGACAAUAUGCAAAAACAGGUGCAAUGUGAGCAGAGGGAUAGAAACCAUAAGCAAGAAUCAUAAGGGAAAAAAUACAGUAACAUAAAUGAAGAAUGCCCCUUGGGGACUCAUCAAUUGAUUUGACACAGCUGAGGGAAAAAAAGUGAAGUUGAAGAUAGGUCAAUAGAAACUUCCUAAGCUAUAAUGCAAAAUUGAUUAAAAAAAUUGUGACACAUUAUCAAAAGAUGUAACAUACACAUAGUUGAAAUACUAAAAGGAGAAGGAACAGAGAAUAGAGCAGAAGUAUUUGAUGUAAAAAUUGCUAAUAAUCUUCCAAAAUUAAUGACAGACACCAACCUACAAAUCCAGGAAGCUUAGAGAACCACCAAGCAGAAUAAAUUUCA
Long non-coding RNA from Papio anubis (olive baboon), 4792 nucleotides. NCBI's taxonomy places the organism in Eukaryota, Metazoa, Chordata, Mammalia, Primates, Cercopithecidae. The record is from Ensembl.